CAAGAUCAUUGCAUUCAUCUCUCUCAUCUUACAGGCAACCAAGCAGAAGCCAAGUGAGGUACUGCACAAGGAGCCAGUGAGUAUCCUGUUCUUGUAUCCACGGCGUCUUGUGCUGCACCCAGAGCCCACAGCCUUACUAUUCCAUCCUCUUGGAUGUCUUCAGCAGGCAGCUGAGAAAGAUCAGAGAGAGGGAUCCCCAGUGUGGUGGCUUUCCCAGAAAGCUCUCUCAAGUUACCUGGAGAUGGCACGGGGCAAGGCGGAGCUCAGCCAGGCCUUCCGUCACAGAAGAUAACAUUGUGCUUCUCCAUUUUCAUGUCUGCUGUGCUUGCUGCUGGGACUGGUUUCAGCCUCUGGAGUCAAGUUUGCCUUUUAUAAGAAUGCUUUUAAACAAUACUCGGCUCCCCACUGCCAACCAUCUUAAUUCCUAUCCCACGUAUUAUACAUGAUUAAAGAUUUCCC
RNAcentral lists this long non-coding RNA (459 nucleotides) under Capra hircus (goat). Its description in RNAcentral is "lncRNA (ENSCHIG00000008053.1)". The record is from RNAcentral. Lineage: Eukaryota; Metazoa; Chordata; Mammalia; Artiodactyla; Bovidae.